CCGAGUUUACAACUCCCAAACCCAAUGUGAACGUUACCAAACUGUUGCCUCGGCGGGGAUCACUGCCCCGGGUGCGUCCAAGCCCCGGAACCAGGCGCCCGCCGGAGGAACCAACCAAACUCUUAUUGUAGUACCCCCUCGCGGGUAUUUUUAUAUCUGAGCCUUCUCGCGCCUCUCGUAGCGUUCGAAAAUGAAUCA
Molecule: unclassified non-coding RNA, 198 nt
Filed under: soil metagenome
Description: partial internal transcribed spacer 1
Source: RNAcentral